AUUCUUUAAAAUUUUAUAAUUUAUAAAAUAAUUUGGUUAAAUUUAUAUUUGGUAAAUUAAUUUUUUCCGCACGUAGAAUGCAUUAUUAGAAUUUUUAUUUAAUUCUCAGAAUUAUAUAAAUAAAUUAUUAAAAUUUUUAAAUUAUUAAAAUUAUAUAUUAUUUAUUAAAAUUUUUAUUUAAUUAUUAUAAUUAUAUAUGAUAUAAGAUAUAAAAAUAAUAAUAAAUAAGUAAAAAAUGAUGAAUAAUUUAUUGCAUGAAAAAUUAGAAAGUCGGUAAAUCGUUAACCAUUUUUAUAAAAGUAAUAAAUCAUUCAUCAUUUUUUAAAAAAAAUUAAUACGGCUCUUACCGGACAAAAAAUAAUUAGGUUCGUCAAAAAAAUUUAUAAGAUUGUUUAUGUAAAUAAUAAAUU
RNAcentral lists this long non-coding RNA (410 nucleotides) under Ananas comosus (pineapple). Its description in RNAcentral is "long non-coding RNA (ACOM_LNC027580)". The record is from RNAcentral. Lineage: Eukaryota; Viridiplantae; Streptophyta; Magnoliopsida; Poales; Bromeliaceae.